This 241-nucleotide ribosomal RNA is filed under the name uncultured bacterium. Its description in RNAcentral is "partial 16S ribosomal RNA". It matches the Rfam family "Bacterial small subunit ribosomal RNA", at positions 1245 to 1500 of the family's 1533-position model. The record is from RNAcentral.
CGAAGCGAAGCAGUGAUGUGAAGCAAAUCGCNCCAAAGCCAGUCCCAGUUCGGAUAAGAGGCUGAAACUCGCCUCUUUGAAGUCGGAAUCGCUAGUAAUCGCAGAUCAGCAUGUUGCGGUGAAUACGUUCCCGGGUCUUGUACACACCGCCCGUCAAACCAUGAGAGUCACCAACACCCGAAGUCCGCCUUGGCGGCCUAAGGUGGGGGAGAUGAUUGGGGUUAAGUCGUAACAAGGUACC